Molecule: ribosomal RNA, 403 nt
Filed under: bacterium
Lineage: Bacteria
Description: partial 16S ribosomal RNA
Rfam family: Bacterial small subunit ribosomal RNA
Source: RNAcentral
UGGGGAAUAUUGCACAAUGGGGGAAACCCUGAUGCAGCGACGCCGCGUGAACGAAGAAGGUAUUCGUAUCGUAAAGCUCUGUCCUAUGGGAAGAUAAUGACAGUACCAUAGAAGAAAGCUCCGGCUAAAUACGUGCCAGCAGCCGCGGUAAUACGUAUGGAGCGAGCGCUGUCCGGAAUUAUUGGGCGUAAAGGGUACGCAGGCGGUUUAAUAAGUCGAAUGUUAAAGAUCGGGGCUCAACCCCGCAAAGCAUUGGAAACUGAUAAACUUGAGUAGUGGAGAGGAAAGUGGAAUUCCUAGUGUAGUGGUGAAAUACGUAGAUAUUAGGAGGAAUACCAGUAGCGAAGGCGACUUUCUGGACACAAACUGACGCUGAGGUACGAAAGCGUGGGGAGCAAACAGG